RNAcentral lists this long non-coding RNA (487 nucleotides) under Rattus norvegicus (Norway rat). RNAcentral describes it as "long non-coding RNA NONRATT013932". The record is from RNAcentral. Lineage: Eukaryota; Metazoa; Chordata; Mammalia; Rodentia; Muridae.
CCGGGCUCUCCCAGCCCUCCCGGACACCAGAACCCACCCACCGAUCCCGCCGGUCUCCAGACUCUCCUCUGCAGUCUUACCACGCCCUCGACCUCUCACCCGCCACCUCCCCCGGGAACCUGCCAGCGGCCUCAGCGGGCAAGGCCAGCGCAGCCCUGGAACGCGGGAUCUAUGUUGACCCGGGAGAGCCGAGGAUGCAGGGCCCGGAUCUGUCCAGUCCCGGACGUGCUUCUGCCCGCAGGCCGCCAGCCAGGUCAUCAUUGGAUGACCCCCAAAGCCCAGAUGCCUGGCAGCACCUCUACCCGAGGCACAGAGAGGGGUGUGGACGGUGCUGAAUCCUGAGGCUGUGUGUUUGCACGGGUGGCCACUUGGAGUGCUGCAAAUCUUGGCAGUUAUGUUUGGGGUUAAAUCGCUGAGUGCAACCUUGAGAAAGGUAUUUCUCCCUCCUGCACAGUUACCUAACAGUGAUGAAAACCAGGCAGAACUA